AGUGUUAAUAGUGGAGAGCUAAGUUUAUGUCAAAAUAUUUGUAGGAAACUCAAACUGCUUGCGCACAUUAUUUUCCCAAUCCAAAAUAUAUGGACAAUUCUCACAACAUCAUCGUCAAUCUGUUGAUAGGAUAGUGAUAAUCUUAUAUUGUGGUUUUUUAUAUAUGCUCUAUUUUUACCCUAUUAUUUGAAGCCCAAUCCGAAACAUUCACGAUUCUUUAACUUAACUAAUUAUGGCAAGCCGUAUUUUUUAUCAGAUAUUUUGCCUGCAACUUUUUGGAGUGAAAUCGAUUUAUUACCAAUAUUUUGAUUUGUUGAUAAAUUUAAGGGACAAGAAUGAUUGUGACCUCCAUGUAUGACAGAUAAAUGGUCUCUGUAUAGACAAUCCCUAUUAUUAUUCCCUGCCUUACUAACUAGGAUGUCUGAUAAGGAGUAGCCAAUAUGAAACAUAUUUAGGCCUCUAAUUUUUUGUUCUAUUCUUUUUUAAAUCUACGAUCAUGGAGUUUUAGCUGUAGUCCUUAGUCCAUAUUUUGCAUAGAACUUGUUUGGAGAAGUGACAAAAACGAUAGCAAUGUACCCAUAAUCAAAUAAAUCGUCAUUACAUUAAUUUCACUUGCUUAAUGACUCGUGUAGUCGCAAAAUGCAAUGAAUUGAAGGUUUCUAAAUCUUGGAACCAGAAAAACAAACUUCCAAUUAAUUAUGAUCGCAUCCUAGUUUUUUGGGUUCCUCAUAUCACUCUUUUUGCACAUUUCCAUAAUCCUUCAACAACUAAAAACUCCCAAGCACUCCCCACUCGACUGGCCUCUUUCUCCUUCGACAUAUAAACAAAAUCUAGAAAUCUUAAAAUCACUAACUAUUUGUAACUGCCCAUUGAUGUUAAUUUUUAGAGCAUUCUCGGUGAAUAAAUCCUCAACUGCCUCAAAUGUGCGAUGGUCCUGAGCGGGGCGAGGCCAGAGGAAACUUUGAUGGAGGCCCGCAACGAAACUGACGUGCAAAUCGUUCCUUUAACUUGGGUAUGGGUGCAAAAGACUAUCGAACUGUCUAGUUGGUUCCCUCCAAAGUUUCCUUCAAGAUAGCUGGAGCCCGUAAACGAGUUCUAUCAAGUAAAGCCAAUGAUUAGAGGCAUUGGGGGAGGCAUUGGGGGCGCAAUGCCCUCGACCUGUUCUCAAACUUUAAAUAGGUAGGAACGAGUGGCUGCUCCGUCGAGUCACUCCACAGAAUCGAGCGCUCCAAGUGUGCCAUUUUUGGUAAGCAGAACUGGCGAUGCGGGAUGAAUCGAAAGCCGGGAUACGGUGCCGAAUUACGCGCUAACCCAAAACCCACAAAGGAUGUUGGUUGAUUAAGAAGCAGGACGGUGGUCAUGGAAGUCGAAAUCCACUAAGAAGUGUGUAACAACUCACCGGCCAAAUCAACUAGCCCCGAAAUGGAUGGCAUUGAAGUGUGCAACCCACACUCGGCCGUCAGGGCGAUUGCCAUGCCCCGAUGAGUAGGAGGGCACGACAGUUGCUGUGAAACCUGGGGCACGAGCCCUAGCGGAGCAGCCGUCGAUGCAGAUCUUGGUGGUAGUAGUAAAUAUUCAAAUGAGAACUUUGAAUGCCAAAGUGGGAAAGGUUCCAUGCGAACGGCAGUUGCACAUGGGUUAGUUGAUCCUAAGAGUCGGGGGAAGCCCAUCCGAGAGCACUGCUAGCAUGAGCUUCGACAGGAAAUCGGGUUAAAAUUCCUGAACCGGGACAUGGCGGCAGACGACAACGUUAGGGAGUCCAAAGACGUCGUCGAGGGCUUCGAGAAGAGUUAUCUUUUAUGUUUAACAACCUGCCCACCCUGGAAAUGGCUCAGCUGGAGGUAGGGUCCAGAGGCUGGAAGUGCACCGCAAAUUGCGUGGUAUCCGGUGUGACUCCGGCGGCCCAUGAAAAUAUGGAGGACCGAGUGCCGCGCACGCCCUGUCGUACUCAUAACCACAUCAGGUCUCCAAGAUGAACAACCUCUGGUCGAUGGAACAAUGUAGGCAAGGAAGUCGGCAAAAUGGAUCCAUAACUUCGGGAAAAGGAUUGACUUUGAGGGAUGGGCUCAGGGGUCCCCGCCUCGAACCCGUCGGUUGUCGGCGAACUGCUCGAGCUGCUCCCACGGAGAGAGCGGGUCGCCGCGUGCCGGCCGGGGACAAACAGGGAACGGCCCGCUUGGGGGCCUUCCCCUACCAUCGAACAGCUGACUCAGAAUUGGUACAAACAAGGGGAAUCCGACUGUUUAAUUAAAACAAAGCAUUGCGAUGGUCCAUGCGGAUGUUGACGCAAUGUGAUUUAUGCCCAGUGCUCUGAAUGUCAAAGUAAAGAAAUUCAACCAAGUGGGAGUAACUAUGACUCUCUUAAGGGAGCCAAAUGCCUCGUCAUCUAAUUAGUGACGCGCAUGAAUGGAUUAACGAGAUUCCCAUUGUCCUUGUCUACUAUCUAGCGAAACCACAGCCAAGGGAACGGGCUUGGCAGAAUAAGCAGGGAAAGAAGACCCUUUUGAGCUUGACUCUAGUCCGACUUUGUGAAAUGACUUGAGAUGUGUAUGAUAAGUGGGAGCUGCCCCCAGUGGCACAAGUGAAAUACCACUACUUUUAACACUAAUUUAGUUAUUCCGUGAGUUGGAGGUGGGGCAUCACCCCUCGUUUUGGCUCCAAGGCUCGCCCUCGGCGGGCUGAUCCGGGUGGAUGACAUUGUCAGGUGGGGAGUUAGGCUGGGGCGGCACAUCUAUUAAAAGAUAACACAGGUGUCCUAAGAUGAGCUCAACAAGAACAUAAAUCUCGUGUGGAACAAAAGGGUAAAACUUCAUUUGAUUCUGAUUUCCAGUACGAAUACGAACCAUUAAAGCGUGGCCUAUCAAUCCUUCAAACCUUCGGGGCCUUCGAAUACUAUUCGGGUCUGAGGUCGGGUCAUACCCAAACCGUUGCUGACCCUAAUUGAAACCUCUUCUAAUAAAAUUUUUAGGAGUUUCUUAAUUUGGUGGUUUAGAAACUCACCUGCAUAAAAACUUUUUCCACCCGUAAAACGGGUCUUUUAUGGAGGCUAAGUCGCAAGUAUGCCCACCAAAUAGUAGGUAUAAUUUAACAAGUGUAAUGGGGUGGCCACGAAGUAAACAAAAAGUGAGAUUAUUCCCAUGCGAUUCUCGAUCUUCGAUGGAGGUGUCUGCCUUGUCACCGCAUCCAGACAAAAACUUUCGCGAAGUAAGCAUGCAUGAUUGAGCUCGAUGCUUUUCUUUUUGGAGGUGAGAGAACACCACUCUCUCUCUUUCUCUCAUGUUUUUUUGGGUCGAUACUCUCUCUAUCUCUCUCAUGUGCUGCUUUCUCUCAUACUUUCAUGGGGAGAUAUGCUUUUGGUUCCCUUUCUUUCUAAGCGUGUGCUACUUUUAGUUGCACCUCUCCCGCCCCCCCAUUCUCUCUCUCUCUCUCAGUCACGCAGUCUUUGAAAAAUCGAACCGGCCCCGGCAACCGGUUGCGGCUGGUUCU
RNAcentral lists this ribosomal RNA (3486 nucleotides) under Amborella trichopoda. RNAcentral's name for it is "28S ribosomal RNA". The stretch from base 1 to 3034 matches the Rfam family "Eukaryotic large subunit ribosomal RNA", at positions 411 to 3401 of the family's 3401-position model. The record is from RNAcentral. Lineage: Eukaryota; Viridiplantae; Streptophyta; Magnoliopsida; Amborellales; Amborellaceae.